This 73-nucleotide transfer RNA is filed under the name Salmo salar (Atlantic salmon). It matches the Rfam family "tRNA". From Rfam's summary of the family: Transfer RNA (tRNA) molecules are approximately 80 nucleotides in length. Their secondary structure includes four short double-helical elements and three loops (D, anti-codon, and T loops). The record is from Rfam by way of RNAcentral. Lineage: Eukaryota; Metazoa; Chordata; Actinopteri; Salmoniformes; Salmonidae.
UCCCGUGUUGGUCAGUUGGUAGAGCAUGGCGCUUGCAACACCAGGACUGUGGGUUCGAUUCCCACGGUGGGAC